RNAcentral lists this ribosomal RNA (801 nucleotides) under Triticum aestivum (bread wheat). RNAcentral's name for it is "partial small subunit ribosomal RNA". The record is from RNAcentral. Lineage: Eukaryota; Viridiplantae; Streptophyta; Magnoliopsida; Poales; Poaceae.
AUGAAGGAGAUAUUUGAGAUAACCGAAGUGCUUGGCCAAGCUUUACAGAAGAAGUCACAAGAUAUUGUGAAUGCUGUUCGUUUAGUCUCCUCAUCUAAAGAGUGUCUCCAACAACUAAGAUCAGAUGAUGGCUACCAAGAAUUUAUUAUCACAGUUGUUGAGUUCUGUACAAACCACUCCAUUGUCAUUCCAGACUUUGAGGAAGCUUACAUCAUGCGUGGUGGCCGUGCCCGCCAUCAACCCAAUCAGCUGACCAAGGAGCAUUACUUUCGAGUCGAAAUAUUCUAUGCAACACUGGACACUCAACUAUUUGAACUAAAUCAUAGGUUCAAUGAGAAGGUAAUGGAUCUUCUAACCACUAGUGCCACCUUGAUUCCUAGAAACAAAUUUAGAGGAUUUAAAGCUAGUGAUAUAUGUGACAUGGUGAAAACGUACUACCCAGCAGACUUCCCCCAACAAGAUAUCUAUGGAUUACAACUACAACUAAAACAUUUUGUUUUGGAUGCUUCCAAGGAUGAAUAUAUGAGAAAUAUAUCAAACUUGAUUGAUCUUUGUCGAUGCCUUGUGGAGUCAGGAAGACAUGUUGUCUUCAAUUUGAUUGAAAGAUUACUCCGUUUGCUCAUUACCCUUCCAGUUUCUAUGGCGAGUGCUGAGCGUGCAUUUUCCAGUAUGAAGAUCAUUAAAACAAGGUGGCGCAAUACAAUGGAGGAUGACUUUCUUGCCAAUAACUUGUUGGUUAACAUAGAGGGUGAACUUCUGGAGAAGUACAGCUAUGAAGAUAUCAUUGAAGAUUUCAAAUGA